RNAcentral lists this ribosomal RNA (719 nucleotides) under Paenibacillus sp. I12B-00876. Its description in RNAcentral is "bacterial SSU rRNA". It matches the Rfam family "Bacterial small subunit ribosomal RNA", at positions 62 to 764 of the family's 1533-position model. The record is from RNAcentral. Lineage: Bacteria; Bacillati; Bacillota; Bacilli; Caryophanales; Paenibacillaceae.
UCGAGCGGACUUGAUGAGGAGCUUGCUUNUCUGAGAGUUAGCGGCGGACGGGUGAGUAACACGUAGGCAACCUGCCCUCAAGACUGGGAUAACUACCGGAAACGGUAGCUAAUACCGGAUAAUUAAAUYYGCUGCAUGGCGGAKUUAUGAAAGGCGGAGCAAUCUGUCACUUGAGGAUGGGCCUGCGGCGCAUUAGCUAGUUGGUGAGGUAACGGCUCACCAAGGCGACGAUGCGUAGCCGACCUGAGAGGGUGAACGGCCACACUGGGACUGAGACACGGCCCAGACUCCUACGGGAGGCAGCAGUAGGGAAUCUUCCGCAAUGGGCGAAAGUGACGGAGCAACCCGCGUGAGUGAUGAAGGUUUUCGGAUCGUAAAGCUCUGUUGCCAGGGAAGAACGACUCAUAGAGUAACUGCUAUGGGAGUGACGGUACCUGAGAAGAAAGCCCCGGCUAACUACGUGCCAGCAGCCGCGGUAAUACGUAGGGGGCAAGCGUUGUCCGGAAUUAUUGGGCGUAAAGCGCGCGCAGGCGGUUCUUUAAGUCUGGUGUUUAAACCCGAGGCUCAACUUCGGGACGCACUGGAAACUGGGGAACUUGAGUGCAGAAGAGGAGAGUGGAAUUCCACGUGUAGCGGUGAAAUGCGUAGAUAUGUGGAGGAACACCAGUGGCGAAGGCGACUCUCUGGGCUGUAACUGACGCUGAGGCGCGAAAGCGUGG